Molecule: ribosomal RNA, 515 nt
Filed under: uncultured bacterium
Lineage: Bacteria
Description: bacterial SSU rRNA
Rfam family: Bacterial small subunit ribosomal RNA
Source: RNAcentral
UAGUCCACGCCGUAAACGAUGUAUGCUAGUUGUCGGGGCUUUGGUCUCGGUGACGUAGGGAAACCAUUAAGCAUACCGCCUGGGGAGUACGGUCGCAAGAUUAAAACUCAAAGGAAUUGACGGGGACCCGCACAAGCGGUGGAGCAUGUUGUUUAAUUCGAAGCAACGCGAAGAACCUUACCUACACUUGACAUCCUUCUUGGGGUAUUCAGAGAUGAAUACUUUCGGUUCGGCCGGGGAAGUGACAGGUGCUGCAUGGCUGUCGUCAGCUCGUGUCGUGAGAUGUUCGGUUAAGUCCGGUAACGAGCGCAACCCUUAUCGUAUGUUGCCAUCAUUCAGUUGGGCACUCAUGCGAGACUGCCGGUGACAAGCCGGAGGAAGGCGGGGACGACGUCAAGUCAUCAUGGCCCUUACGUGUAGGGCUACAAACGUGCUACAAUGGGUAUGACAGUGGGCAGCCACUCCGCGAGGAGGCGCUAAUCCCUAAACGUACUCUCAGUUCGGAUUGUUCUCUG